GAAUAGUUCCAUCAGGCAAAACAAGAAGAGCUUUGGAUCCUUCCUAGUCGAGCUCGCAGGAGAAGCUUUCUGACGAACGAGAAAACAGGAAGAGGUUCUAAGGCUUUCUGUACCUCACACCAACAAGGCAUUUGCUCUAAUCUUCGUUGAAACUUUGAUUAAGUCUAAACUCAAGAUGAUUAUGGAACUUUCUGUGUCUGGGAUGGUGCAUCCUAAAGUUCAGCGAUCCAAAAUCACUUCAAGAAUCAGCUCUGCAAUGACACGGAAAUCGUCUUCUGGUUCCCAGUCGACGACGACGACGACACCGAGAUCACAGGAGACGAAAACGCCAUCUUCGUCUGUCGUCUCUUGUGCUGUGCUCAUGAAGUGAAUCUUCCUCACAUCACAAGAAGGACAAAGAGAAGAGAAGAAACGAAGUAACCUUUCGAAAAUGAUCGGAAAAUGGAGGAGAAUAAGAGCUGGGAAAGAGAUAAUCAACUUUGAUAAUCAUCAGACUGAGGAAAUUGUAGAAGAAAAGUUGUAACUUUCUGGUCAUAUCAAUAAUAAGAAACGGGAGACUGAAAGUAAGUAACCCACUGAGAGUCAUCACUAAGAGAAAAGUAGAAAAUCAGGGAAUCACUGAGAGUCAUCCGAGAAAGACGAGAAGAGGAAAAAGCCCAUUUCGAAAAUCAUUAUAAGAAGGAAAGAGAGUAAAUACGACAUUCCUCUGAGAAACAUCACAAAAAGGGGAAAACCAAGAAAAGCCUUCUGUGAAUCAUUACAAAGUGAAUUAACUAUCAUUUUAGAAUGGCCACAAGAUAGAUAUAUAGUUAAAUGUAGAAUCUAGGCCAAAGGCCUAGCGCUGGGAACCAUGAAUCAUUCAGCACUGAAAAGGAAAUUGACAGAAGAAAGGUUUCAAAGUGUAACAGGAGGGAAUCUUUGCAGUGGCAUUAUAAAGCAAUUGUUAGGAGAGGGUGGAUAACAAAAUGGAAGAAAGAGAAUAUGAACGGAGGUACAGUAUAAGGAAUGAAAGCGGUUGGAGCUAGGGGCCGAUGGGAUGCUGCAAAGACCCUCAAGUAAUCCCCAUACGGGGAGAAUCACCACAAGGAUAUAGUUAUCGAGGAAAAAAUCAGGUGAAAACUGAAAAGGAUGAAGCGAAGAAACCAGGACAGGGAAACCUUUCAGAAUAAUCAUGGCAGUGUCAGAAAUAAUUCAAUUCCUCAAAAAACGAUCGGAAAUCAUAGAAGGAAGAUGACGAAGAUUCCGAUAAAAAAAACUACAUCAUUUUGAAAACCAGCCUAUUGUAAUUUCUCUCUUGUUGGUCUUGAGUUUUUCAUCAGUACAUUUCAAAAACCACCAGUCAUCAUGCAUACGUCGAUUAAUUUAUUGUAAAAACUUGACCCAUUCUUAUUUUGUACAAGCAUUGUUACUGUCUUAUCAUCUAUACAUCUUUUAUUAUUUAUUUUUGCAUCAUUCGUUGUUGAAUUACUUUAGUAAAUAAAAAAUAAUAAAGUUUA
This is a long non-coding RNA of Macrobrachium nipponense, 1496 nucleotides long. RefSeq lists it as uncharacterized. The record is from RefSeq and is a predicted model, not a curated record. Lineage: Eukaryota; Metazoa; Arthropoda; Malacostraca; Decapoda; Palaemonidae. The transcript has 2 exons.